GCUACAAGCCGGGCUAUCGUUCCGACGUUACAGUCGGGAAGGAAAGUCCGGACAGCACAGAGCAAUGCACCGGUGAAUAGCCGGGUCUUUUCUUACUUAGGCAGGAAAAGAACAGAUAGUGCCACAGAAAAUAACUAUCCGCCUGCGGGUGGACAAAGGUGAAAACGUAGGGUAAGAGCCUACGGCUUAUGAUGGUAACAUCAUUUGCGGGUAAACCUUGCAUGCUGAAAUGCCACGUAUAGUACCGUUUUGAGGGCUGCUCGUCCAAGGUACAGGGUAGGCAGAUUGAUCCCGCGGGGUAACUUGCGGGACAGAUAAAUGAUAGUCCACGACAGGAUCCGGCUUACAGGCUUGUAGCAAUU
Molecule: RNase P RNA, 362 nt
Filed under: Chitinophagaceae bacterium
Lineage: Bacteria; Pseudomonadati; Bacteroidota; Chitinophagia; Chitinophagales; Chitinophagaceae
Description: RNase P RNA component class A
Rfam family: Bacterial RNase P class A
About the family: Ribonuclease P (RNase P) is a ubiquitous endoribonuclease, found in archaea, bacteria and eukarya as well as chloroplasts and mitochondria. Its best characterised activity is the generation of mature 5'-ends of tRNAs by cleaving the 5'-leader elements of precursor-tRNAs. Cellular RNase Ps are ribonucleoproteins.
Source: RNAcentral